AUGGCGCCGCCCAACCGGAGAGGUGGCAGCGGCCGGAAGAAGACCGUCAUCCGCCGGAUCGAGCAGAAGGAUGCCCGGCACAUCAGCUACUCCAAGCGCCGCAGGGGGUUCUUCACCAAGGCCAGCGAUCUGGCGGUCCUCACCGGCGCCCAGGUGGCCGCCCUCGCCUUCUCGCCCGGCGGCAACGUCUUCUCCUUCGGCCACCCCUCCAUCGACUCC
This 219-nucleotide ribosomal RNA is filed under the name Triticum aestivum (bread wheat). Its description in RNAcentral is "partial small subunit ribosomal RNA". The record is from RNAcentral. Lineage: Eukaryota; Viridiplantae; Streptophyta; Magnoliopsida; Poales; Poaceae.